UGGGGAAUAUUGGACAAUGGGCGAAAGCCUGAUCCAGCCAUGCCGCGUGUGUGAAGAAGGUCUUCGGAUUGUAAAGCACUUUAAGUUGGGAGGAAGGGCAUUAACCUAAUACGUUAGUGUUUUGACGUUACCGACAGAAUAAGCACCGGCUAACUCUGUGCCAGCAGCCGCGGUAAUACAGAGGGUGCAAGCGUUAAUCGGACUUACUGGGCGUAAAGCGCGCGUAGGUGGUUUGUUAAGUUGGAUGUGAAAUCCGCGGGCUCAACCUGGGAACUGCAUUCAAAACUGACUGACUAGAGUAUGGUAGAGGGUGGUGGAAUUUCCUGUGUAGCGGUGAAAUGCGUAGAUAUAGGAAGGAACACCAGUGGCGAAGGCGACCACCUGGACUAAUACUGACACUGAGGUGCGAAAGCGUGGGGAGCAAACA
Molecule: ribosomal RNA, 427 nt
Filed under: uncultured bacterium
Lineage: Bacteria
Description: partial 16S ribosomal RNA
Rfam family: Bacterial small subunit ribosomal RNA
Source: RNAcentral